CUACGGGUGGCUGCAGUGGGGAAUAUUGCACAAUGGGCGCAAGCCUGAUGCAGCCAUGCCGCGUGUGUGAAGAAGGCCUUCGGGUUGUAAAGCACUUUCAGUAGGGAGGAAGGUGGUAGCGUUAAUAGCGCUAUCAUUUGACGUUACCUACAGAAGAAGCACCGGCUAACUCCGUGCCAGCAGCCGCGGUAAUACGGAGGGGUGCGAGCGUUAAUCGGAAUUACUGGGCGUAAAGCGCAUACAGGUGGUUUGUUAAGUCAGAUGUGAAAGCCCCGGGCUCAACCUGGGAAUUGCAUUUGAAACUGGCAAACUAGAGUACUGUAGAGGGGGGGAGAAUUUCAGGUGUAGCGGUGAAAUGCGUAGAGAUCUGAAGGAAUACCGGUGGCGAAGGCGGCCCCCUGGACAGAUACUGACACUCAGAUGCGAAAGCGUGGGGAGCAAACAGGAUUAGAUACCCCAGUAGUC
This 465-nucleotide ribosomal RNA is filed under the name uncultured bacterium. RNAcentral's name for it is "partial 16S ribosomal RNA". It matches the Rfam family "Bacterial small subunit ribosomal RNA", at positions 339 to 795 of the family's 1533-position model. The record is from RNAcentral.